This is a non-coding RNA of Schistosoma mansoni, 45 nucleotides long. The record is from Rfam. Lineage: Eukaryota; Metazoa; Platyhelminthes; Trematoda; Strigeidida; Schistosomatidae.
AUCCAGCUGACGAGUCCCAAAUAGGACGAAACGCACAUCUUGGAC